UAAUGUUGACUAUCACGUGUCACGUUCUUAUUGGAUUAUGACUGUCACGUGUCAUGUUCUGAUUGGUCAAUGAAAAUAACAAUACAUUUAAUCUUUUAUGGAGUUGACAUUCAAUCAAAACGUGACACGUGACGGUCAACAUCA
Molecule: microRNA precursor, 144 nt
Filed under: Glycine max (soybean)
Lineage: Eukaryota; Viridiplantae; Streptophyta; Magnoliopsida; Fabales; Fabaceae
Description: miR1520i stem-loop (gma-MIR1520i)
Rfam family: MIR1520 microRNA precursor family (bases 25-144)
Source: miRBase by way of RNAcentral